Molecule: ribosomal RNA, 253 nt
Filed under: uncultured bacterium
Lineage: Bacteria
Description: partial 16S ribosomal RNA
Rfam family: Bacterial small subunit ribosomal RNA
Source: RNAcentral
UACGUAGGGUGCAAGCGUUAAUCGGAAUUACUGGGCGUAAAGCGUGCGCAGGCGGUUCGCUAAGACAGAUGUGAAAGCCCCGGGCUCAACCUGGGAAUGGCGAUGGAAACUGGCGGGCUGGAGUAUGGCAGAGGGGGGUGGAAUUCCGCGUGUAGCAGUGAAAUGCGUAGAGAUGCGGAGGAACACCGAUGGCGAAGGCAGCCCCCUGGGCCAAUACUGACGCUCAGGCACGAAAGCGUGGGGAGCAAACAGG